GCUAAUCUUAUAUGUCAAAAGAGAUGAACAUCUUCUUAUUUUUCUCUUUUACUUCUGUUGUUGUUCCGCCAUUGCCUUAAGCUUUUCCUCCAAAAUGUCUUUCUCAAGACCGUACAUUCUGUUCAAAGCAUGCAUAUUCUCAAGGGUCUCGCUCAGCGUUCUACUGUCACUUCCGUCACAUCUCAAAUGCUGCAUUGGACCAUGUAAGAAUCUGUUCACGAUACCUCGGCUUAAGUCAUCAACCGCUCUCGUUGUUUUCUUGUUGAUAUCA
Molecule: small RNA, 271 nt
Filed under: Arabidopsis thaliana (thale cress)
Lineage: Eukaryota; Viridiplantae; Streptophyta; Magnoliopsida; Brassicales; Brassicaceae
Description: ATSL058770
Source: RNAcentral